This 248-nucleotide non-coding RNA is filed under the name Ipomoea nil (Japanese morning glory). RNAcentral's name for it is "Eukaryotic large subunit ribosomal RNA". It matches the Rfam family "Eukaryotic large subunit ribosomal RNA", at positions 3152 to 3401 of the family's 3401-position model. The record is from Rfam by way of RNAcentral. Lineage: Eukaryota; Viridiplantae; Streptophyta; Magnoliopsida; Solanales; Convolvulaceae.
GACCGACGCAUGCGCUCGUCGCCCGUUUGCCGACCCGCAGUAGGGGCCAUUUGGCCCCCAAGGGCACGUGUCGUUGGCUAAGCCGUCGUGGCGGAAGGGUCACGGUGGCCGCCUUGAAUUACAAUUCCGAUCGAGCGGCGAGCUGAAUCCUUUGCAGACGACUUAAAUACGCGACGGGGUAUUGUAAGGGGUAGAGUGGCCUUGCUGCACGAUCCUCUGAGAUUCAGCCCUUUGUCGCUCCGAUUCGU